RNAcentral lists this ribosomal RNA (217 nucleotides) under uncultured bacterium. Its description in RNAcentral is "partial 16S ribosomal RNA". It matches the Rfam family "Bacterial small subunit ribosomal RNA", at positions 28 to 222 of the family's 1533-position model. The record is from RNAcentral.
GACGAACGCUGGCGGCGUGCCUAAUACAUGCAAGUCGAACGAACUCUGGUAUUGAUUGGUGCUUGCAUCAUGAUUUACAUUUGAGUGAGUGGCGAACUGGUGAGUAACACGUGGGAAACCUGCCCAGAAGCGGGGGAUAACACCUGGAAACAGAUGCUAAUACCGCAUAACAACUUGGACCGCAUGGUCCGAGUUUGAAAGAUGGCUUCGGCUAUCU